This 449-nucleotide ribosomal RNA is filed under the name uncultured bacterium. Its description in RNAcentral is "partial 16S ribosomal RNA". It matches the Rfam family "Bacterial small subunit ribosomal RNA", at positions 29 to 523 of the family's 1533-position model. The record is from RNAcentral.
AGCGAACGCUGGCGGCAGGCCUAACACAUGCAAGUCGAACGGAUCCUUCGGGAUUAGUGGCGGACGGGUGAGUAACACGUGGGAACGUGCCAUUUGGUUCGGAACAACUCAGGGAAACUUGAGCUAAUACCGGAUGUGCCCUUCGGGGGACAGAUUUAUCGCCAUUGGAGCGGCCCGCGUCUGAUUAGCUAGUUGGUGGGGUAAAGGCCCACCAAGGCGACGAUCAGUAGCUGGUUUGAGAGGAUGAUCAGCCACAUUGGGACUGAGACACGGCCCAAACUCCUACGGGGGGCGGCGGUGGGGAAGCUUGCGCAAUGGACGAAAGCCUGACGCAGCCAUGCCGCGUGAAUGAUGAAGGUCUUAGGAUUGUAAAAUUCUUUCACCGGGGACGAUAAUGACGGUACCCGGGGAAGAAGCCCCGUCUAACUUCGUGCCAGCCGCCGCCGUAA